GAUGAAGAACGUAGUGAAAUGCGAAAAGUAAUGUGAAUUGCAGAAUUCAGUGAAUCAUCGAAUCUUUGAACGCACCUUGCGCUCCUUGGUAUUCCGAGGAGCAUGCCUGUUUGAGUGUCAUUAAUAUAUCAACCUUCUCUUUUUUGAGUUGUUUGGAUGUGGGGGUUUGCUGGCCUCUUAAAUGAUUCAGCUCCCCUGAAAUGCAUUAGCAGAACAACCUGUUCAUUAGCGUGAUAAUUAUCUAUGCUAUUGAAUGUGAGGGCAGUUCAGCUUUCUAACCGUCCUUGGACAAUUCAUCAUUAAUGUGACCUCAAAUCAGGUAGGACUACCCGCUGAACUUAAGCAUAUCAAUAAGCGGAGGA
RNAcentral lists this unclassified non-coding RNA (362 nucleotides) under soil metagenome. Its description in RNAcentral is "partial contains 5.8S ribosomal RNA, internal transcribed spacer 2, and large subunit ribosomal RNA". The stretch from base 1 to 120 matches the Rfam family "5.8S ribosomal RNA", at positions 35 to 154 of the family's 154-position model. The record is from RNAcentral.